UUGCAUGGCUGUCGUCAGCUCGUGUCGUGAGAUGUUCGGUUAAGUCCGCUAACGAGCGCAACCCUCGCUGUGUGUUAUAUGUGUCACACAGGACUGCUGGUAUUAAGCCGGAGGAAGGUGGGGACGACGUCAAGUCAGCAUGACCUUUAUAUCCAGGGCUACACACACGCUACAAUGGUCAGUACAAUGGGUUGCCAAGCCGCGAGGCGGAGCCAAUCCUAAAAAGCUGGCCCCAGUUCAGAUUGCAGUCUGAAACUCGACUGCAUGAAGUCGGAGUUGCUAGUAAACGCAGGUCAGCUAUACUGCGUUGAAUACGUUCCCGGGGCUU
RNAcentral lists this ribosomal RNA (328 nucleotides) under uncultured Anaerolineaceae bacterium. RNAcentral's name for it is "bacterial SSU rRNA". It matches the Rfam family "Bacterial small subunit ribosomal RNA", at positions 1041 to 1382 of the family's 1533-position model. The record is from RNAcentral. Lineage: Bacteria; Bacillati; Chloroflexota; Anaerolineae; Anaerolineales; Anaerolineaceae.